UACGAAGGGUGCAAACGUUGCUCGGAAUCAUUGGGCGUAAAGCGCACGUAGGCGGCCUCAUAAGUCGGAUGUGAAAUCCCUCGGCUCAACCGAGGAAGUGCAUCCGAAACUGCGAGGCUCGAGUAUGGAAGAGGGUCGCAGAAUUCCCGGUGUAGAGGUGAAAUUCGUAGAUAUCGGGAGGAAUACCAGUGGCGAAGGCGGCGACCUGGGCCAAUACUGACGCUGAGGGGCGAAAGCCAGGGGAGCAAACGGG
This 253-nucleotide ribosomal RNA is filed under the name uncultured bacterium. Its description in RNAcentral is "partial 16S ribosomal RNA". It matches the Rfam family "Bacterial small subunit ribosomal RNA", at positions 524 to 776 of the family's 1533-position model. The record is from RNAcentral.